RNAcentral lists this long non-coding RNA (430 nucleotides) under Phoenix dactylifera (date palm). Its description in RNAcentral is "long non-coding RNA (PDAC_LNC017821)". Lineage: Eukaryota; Viridiplantae; Streptophyta; Magnoliopsida; Arecales; Arecaceae. The record is from RNAcentral.
CUGUUGGCGUCCGACCGCACCGGAACCCACUCACACCGGCACUGCCCACCAACGUCGGAAAACAAAGAGAGAAUAACUCUCUCGCUCCCUCGACACCGGACUCAAGGAUCACCGCUUCGCUUAUCCCUACGAAGGAUAAAAGAUUACCCCGUGGUAUCAAUAGGGUAAAACACUUGAGCACCGCAGCGGAUUAUCAAACCAAAGGAAGAAGAAAUAGGAAGAAGAUAGCAAAGCAAACACAAAGAUGUAACGAGGUUCGGCUACAAAUAGCCUACGUCCUCCACCGCUCCAAAUCUCAACUAGGAUGAAUAGAUUACAGAGAUGGCACACACCCGAACGAUCACACGAGAUCGCUCUAUAAGAGAUUCACACAGAAUUCCCUUUGCACAAGAAGUAGGAUCCCAAUCCUCUUCUUCUCUAGAACCCUAGC